AACAAAAGAGAAAAAGAAAAGAAAGAAAACAUGGGAUAUCGAGAGAAACGGAUGUACAGUAGAGUCGGUUGUUUUUUCUCAGUUGAAAAUGAAAGAAAAAAGAAGAUAUGAUAUGGGGAUUCUUUCUUCUGCUGCCUGACUGACCUAUUUUUGUUGAGCACGCGAUGCUUCUGUCUCACACUGCCCGCCAGGUUUAAUUUUCAUGGCUCUUUAAUUUAGGAAUUAGAAUGAUA
RNAcentral lists this long non-coding RNA (233 nucleotides) under Ricinus communis (castor bean). Its description in RNAcentral is "long non-coding RNA (RCOM_LNC003064)". Lineage: Eukaryota; Viridiplantae; Streptophyta; Magnoliopsida; Malpighiales; Euphorbiaceae. The record is from RNAcentral.